Molecule: ribosomal RNA, 433 nt
Filed under: uncultured bacterium
Lineage: Bacteria
Description: partial 16S ribosomal RNA
Rfam family: Bacterial small subunit ribosomal RNA
Source: RNAcentral
AACGAACGCUGGCGGCAUGCCUAACACAUGCAAGUCGAACGAGACCUUCGGGUCUAGUGGCGCACGGGUGCGUAACGCGUGGGAACAUGCACUUAGGUUCGGAAUAACUCCCCGAAAGGGGUGCUAAUACCGGAUAAUGUCUUCGGUCCAAAGAUUUAUCGCCUUUGGAUGGGCCCGCGUUGGAUUAGCUAGUUGGUAGGGUAAAAGCCUACCAAGGCGACGAUCCAUAGCUGGUCUGAGAGGAUGAUCAGCCACACUGGGACUGAGACACGGCCCAGACUCCUACGGGAGGCAGCAGUGGGGAAUAUUGGACAAUGGGCGAAAGCCUGAUCCAGCAAUGCCGCGUGAGUGAUGAAGGCCUUAGGGGUGUAAAGCUCUUUUACCCGGGAUGAUAAUGACAGUACCGGGAGAAUAAGCACCGGCUAACUCCGUG